This 253-nucleotide ribosomal RNA is filed under the name uncultured bacterium. RNAcentral's name for it is "partial 16S ribosomal RNA". It matches the Rfam family "Bacterial small subunit ribosomal RNA", at positions 524 to 776 of the family's 1533-position model. The record is from RNAcentral.
UACGAAGGGGGCUAGCGUUGUUCGGAAUUACUGGGCGUAAAGCGCGCGCAGGCGGUUUUUCAAGUCAGUGGUGAAAGCCCGGAGCUCAACUCCGGAAAUGCCAUUGAAACUGUAAAACUUGAGGACGAGAGAGGUGAGUGGAAUUCCCAGUGUAGAGGUGAAAUGCGCAGAUAUCAGGAGGAACACCGGUGGCGAAGGCGGGUCUCUGGGCCGAUACUGACGCUGAGGAGCGAAAGCGUGGGGAGCGAACAGG